Molecule: transfer RNA, 74 nt
Filed under: Candidatus Omnitrophota bacterium
Lineage: Bacteria; Pseudomonadati; Candidatus Omnitrophota
Description: Candidatus Omnitrophica bacterium tRNA-His
Rfam family: tRNA
About the family: Transfer RNA (tRNA) molecules are approximately 80 nucleotides in length.
Source: RNAcentral
GUGGCUAUAGUGUAAUGGCAGCACGAAAGAUUGUGGUUCUUUUAGAGCGGGUUCAAAUCCCGUUAGCCACCCCA